UUGUCUCAAAGAUUAAGCCAUGCAUGUCUAAGUAUAAACAACUUUGUACUGUGAAACUGCGAAUGGCUCAUUAAAUCAGGUAUAGUUUAUUUGAUGGUUUCUUGCUACAUGGAUAACUGUGGUAAUUCUAGAGCUAAUACAUGCUAAAAACCCCAACUUCGGAAGGGGUGUAUUUAUUAGAUAAAAAACCAACGCCCUUCGGGGCUCCUUGGUGAUUCAUAAUAACUAAACGAAUCGCAUGGCCUUGCGCCGGCGAUGGUUCAUUCAAAUUUCUGCCCUAUCAACUUUCGAUGGUAGGAUAGUGGCCUACCAUGGUAUCAACGGGUAACGGGGAAUUAGGGUUCUAUUCCGGAGAGGGAGCCUGAGAAACGGCUACCACAUCCAAGGAAGGCAGCAGGCGCGCAAAUUACCCAAUCCCGACACGGGGAGGUAGUGACAAUAAAUACUGAUACAGGGCUCUUUUGGGUCUUGUAAUUGGAAUGAGUACAAUUUAAAUCCCUUAACGAGGAACAAUUGGAGGGCAAGUCUGGUGCCAGCAGCC
RNAcentral lists this ribosomal RNA (541 nucleotides) under uncultured fungus. Its description in RNAcentral is "SSU rRNA". It matches the Rfam family "Eukaryotic small subunit ribosomal RNA", at positions 32 to 575 of the family's 1831-position model. The record is from RNAcentral. Lineage: Eukaryota; Fungi.